Molecule: non-coding RNA, 69 nt
Organism: Podarcis lilfordi (Lilford's wall lizard)
Lineage: Eukaryota; Metazoa; Chordata; Lepidosauria; Squamata; Lacertidae
Source: the annotation of a GenBank genome assembly
GCUAGGCUCACUUGGUAGAGCAUGAGGCUCUUAAUCUCAAGGUCGUGGGUUCAAGCCCCAUGUUGGGCG